GGUGGGGUAGCUCAGCUGGUUAGAGCGCAGGACUCAUAAUCCUGAGGUCGUGAGUUCAAGUCUCACUCUCACUA
This 74-nucleotide transfer RNA is filed under the name Litorimonas taeanensis. RNAcentral's name for it is "Robiginitomaculum sp. G5 tRNA". It matches the Rfam family "tRNA". From Rfam's summary of the family: Transfer RNA (tRNA) molecules are approximately 80 nucleotides in length. Their secondary structure includes four short double-helical elements and three loops (D, anti-codon, and T loops). The record is from Rfam by way of RNAcentral. Lineage: Bacteria; Pseudomonadati; Pseudomonadota; Alphaproteobacteria; Maricaulales; Robiginitomaculaceae.